AGGGUUUGAUUCUGGCUCAGGAUGAACGCUAGCUACAGGCUUAACACAUGCAAGUCGAGGGGCAGCAGGAUCUAGCAAUAGAUUGCUGGCGACCGGCGCACGGGUGAGUAACACGUAUCCAACCUGCCGAUAACUCGGGGAUAGCCUUUCGAAAGAAAGAUUAAUACCCGAUGGUAUAAUCAGACCGCAUGGUUUGAUUAUUAAAGAAUUUCGGUUAUCGAUGGGGAUGCGUUCCAUUAGGCAGUUGGUGAGGUAACGGCUCACCAAACCUUCGAUGGAUAGGGGUUCUGAGAGGAAGGUCCCCCACAUUGGAACUGAGACACGGUCCAA
RNAcentral lists this ribosomal RNA (330 nucleotides) under uncultured bacterium. Its description in RNAcentral is "bacterial SSU rRNA". It matches the Rfam family "Bacterial small subunit ribosomal RNA", at positions 8 to 334 of the family's 1533-position model. The record is from RNAcentral.